GACGAACGCUGGCGGCGUGCUUAACACAUGCAAGUCGAACGGAAAGGCCCUGCUUUUGUGGGGUGCUCGAGUGGCGAACGGGUGAGUAACACGUGAGUAACCUGCCCUUGACUUUGGGAUAACUUCAGGAAACUGGGGCUAAUACCGGAUAGGAGCUCCUGCUGCAUGGUGGGGGUUGGAAAGUUUCGGCGGUUGGGGAUGGACUCGCGGCUUAUCAGCUUGUUGGGGGGGUAGUGGCUUACCAAGGCUUUGACGGGUAGCCGGCCUGAGAGGGUGACCGGCCACAUUGGGACUGAGAUACGGCCCAGACUCCUACGGGAGGCAGCAGUGGGGAAUAUUGCACAAUGGGCGGAAGCCUGAUGCAGCAACGCCGCGUGCGGGAUGACGGCCUUCGGGUUGUAAACCGCUUUCGCCUGUAACGAAGCGUGAGUGACGGUAAUGGGUAAAGAAGCACCGGCUAACUACGUG
This 468-nucleotide ribosomal RNA is filed under the name uncultured bacterium. RNAcentral's name for it is "partial 16S ribosomal RNA". It matches the Rfam family "Bacterial small subunit ribosomal RNA", at positions 28 to 507 of the family's 1533-position model. The record is from RNAcentral.